AUCCAGAUGACGAGUUCCAUAUAGGACGAAACGCGCUUCAAAUUGGAU
This is a non-coding RNA of Schistosoma rodhaini, 48 nucleotides long. NCBI's taxonomy places the organism in Eukaryota, Metazoa, Platyhelminthes, Trematoda, Strigeidida, Schistosomatidae. The record is from Rfam.